ACGGGAGGCAGCAGUGAGGAAUAUUGGUCAAUGGGCGAGAGCCUGAACCAGCCAAGUAGCGUGCAGGAGGACGGCCCUAUGGGUUGUAAACUUCUUUUGUAAGGGGAUAAACCUAGAUAUGUAUAUCUAGCUGAAGGUACCUUACGAAUAAGCAUCGGCUAACUCCGUGCCAGCAGCCGCGGUAAUACGGAGGAUGCAGGCGUUGUCCGGAUUUAUUAGGUUUAAAGGGUGCGCAGGCGGGACACUAAGUCGGCGGUGAAAUCUCAUGGCCCAACCAUGAAACUGCCAUCGAUACUGGUGACCUUGAGUACGAAUGAGGAAGGCGGAAUGAGUCGUGUAGCGGUGAAAUGCUUAGAUAUGACUCAGAACACCAAUUGCGAAGGCAGCUUUCCAAAACGCAACUGACGCUCAUGCACGAAAGCGUGGGUAGCGAACAGGAUUAGAUACCCUGGUA
Molecule: ribosomal RNA, 454 nt
Filed under: uncultured Paludibacter sp.
Lineage: Bacteria; Pseudomonadati; Bacteroidota; Bacteroidia; Bacteroidales; Paludibacteraceae
Description: partial 16S ribosomal RNA
Rfam family: Bacterial small subunit ribosomal RNA
Source: RNAcentral